Molecule: non-coding RNA, 73 nt
Organism: Podarcis lilfordi (Lilford's wall lizard)
Lineage: Eukaryota; Metazoa; Chordata; Lepidosauria; Squamata; Lacertidae
Source: the annotation of a GenBank genome assembly
ACCCAGUGACACAAUGGGUUGGUGCUUCUUGCUGUUAACCAGAAGGUUGGUGGUUCAAGCCCACCCAGGGAUG